Gossypium hirsutum (cotton) is the source of this 145-nucleotide non-coding RNA. Lineage: Eukaryota; Viridiplantae; Streptophyta; Magnoliopsida; Malvales; Malvaceae. The record is from Rfam.
UGUUAAAAAUUUCAUUCAUUUCCACUGUUAGAAGCUAGCAUGGCAGAUGAAGUAAUUAGAUAAUUACACAUGGCGUGUCGCGUGUACCUCAUUCUAGCAUACAUGGACUAGUUUUUAACAAUAAAAAUAGAUGGAAUUUUAAAUA